CAGUCUGCAACUCGACUGCAUGAAGCCGGAAUCGCUAGUAAUCGCGGAUCAGAAUGCCGCGGUGAAUACGUUCCCGGGUCUUGUACACACCGCCCGUCACACCAUGGGAGUCGGAAAUGCCCGAAGCCGGUGGCCUAACCGAUAAGGGAGAAGCCGUCGAAGGCAGGUCUGAUGACUGGGGUGAAGUCGUAACAAGGUAAC
Molecule: ribosomal RNA, 201 nt
Filed under: uncultured bacterium
Lineage: Bacteria
Description: partial 16S ribosomal RNA
Rfam family: Bacterial small subunit ribosomal RNA
Source: RNAcentral